This is a small nucleolar RNA of Ochotona princeps (American pika), 131 nucleotides long. RefSeq annotates it as small nucleolar RNA SNORA1. The transcript has a single exon. The record is from RefSeq and is a predicted model, not a curated record. NCBI's taxonomy places the organism in Eukaryota, Metazoa, Chordata, Mammalia, Lagomorpha, Ochotonidae.
GGCCUCAUUCUGUGAGAUGGGCACUAUUUAUUGUGGUGUCCAAAAUUGUCAAUGUGGCUAUAUUGAGACACAGGUUAUGCUUCCAUCACGGUGACUGAAUUGCAGUGGUGACAAUGAGACCUGUAACAAUU